UACGUAGGUGGCAAGCGUUGUCCGGAUUUAUUGGGCGUAAAGCGAGCGCAGGCGGUUUCUUAAGUCCGAUGUGAAAGCCCCCGGCUUAACCGGGAGGGUCAAUUGGAAACUGAGGAACUUGAGUGCAGAAGAGGAGAGUGGAAUUCCAUGUGUAGCGGUGAAAUGCGUAGAUAUAUGGAGGAACACCAGUGGCGAAGGCGGCUUCCUGGUCUGUAACUGACACUGAGGCGCGAAAGCGUGGGGAGCAAACAGGAUUAGAUACCCUGGUAGU
This 271-nucleotide ribosomal RNA is filed under the name uncultured prokaryote. Its description in RNAcentral is "partial 16S ribosomal RNA". It matches the Rfam family "Bacterial small subunit ribosomal RNA", at positions 524 to 794 of the family's 1533-position model. The record is from RNAcentral.